GUCUCAGUUCGGAUUGUAGUCUGCAACUCGACUACAUGAAGCUGGAAUCGCUAGUAAUCGCGAAUCAGAAUGUCGCGGUGAAUACGUUCCCGGGUCUUGUACACACCGCCCGUCACACCAUGGGAGUCAGUAACGCCCGAAGCCGGUGACCUAACCGAAAGGGAGGAGCCGUCGAAGGUGGGACCGAUAACUGGGGUGAAGUCGUAACAAGGUACC
Molecule: ribosomal RNA, 216 nt
Filed under: uncultured bacterium
Lineage: Bacteria
Description: partial 16S ribosomal RNA
Rfam family: Bacterial small subunit ribosomal RNA
Source: RNAcentral